RNAcentral lists this ribosomal RNA (501 nucleotides) under uncultured bacterium. Its description in RNAcentral is "bacterial SSU rRNA". It matches the Rfam family "Bacterial small subunit ribosomal RNA", at positions 135 to 655 of the family's 1533-position model. The record is from RNAcentral.
ACUCGGGGAUAGCCUUUCGAAAGAAAGAUUAAUACCCGAUGGCUCCGCAUGUAUAAAGAAUUUCGGUCAUCGAUGGGGAUGCGUUCCAUUAGGUUGUUGGCGGGGUAACGGCCCACCAAGCCUUCGAUGGAUAGGGGUUCUGAGAGGAAGGUCCCCCACAUUGGAACUGAGACACGAUCCAACUUUUACGGGAGGCAGCAGUGAGGAAUAUUGGUCAAUGGGCGUAAGCCUGAACCAGCCAAGUCGCGUGAGGGAUGAAGGUUUAUGGAUCGUAAACCUCUUUUAUAAGGGAAUAAGUGCGGGACGUGUCCCGUUUUGUAUGUACCUUAGAAUAAGGAUCGGCUAACUCCGUGCCAGCAGCCGCGGUAAUACGGAGGAUCCGAGCGUUAUCCGGAUUUAUUGGGUUUAAAGGGUGCGUAGGCGGCCUUUUAAGUCAGCGGUGAAAGUCUGUGGCUCAACCAUAGAAUUGCCGUUGAAACUGGGAGGCUUGAGUAUGUUUGA